This 461-nucleotide ribosomal RNA is filed under the name Clostridioides sp. ZZV14-6048. RNAcentral describes it as "bacterial SSU rRNA". It matches the Rfam family "Bacterial small subunit ribosomal RNA", at positions 1071 to 1533 of the family's 1533-position model. The record is from RNAcentral. Lineage: Bacteria; Bacillati; Bacillota; Clostridia; Peptostreptococcales; Peptostreptococcaceae. RNAcentral also lists the same sequence under 2 other names.
GAUGUUGGGUUAAGUCCCGCAACGAGCGCAACCCUUGUCUUUAGUUGCCAUCAUUAAGUUGGGCACUCUAGAGAGACUGCCAGGGAUAACCUGGAGGAAGGUGGGGAUGACGUCAAAUCAUCAUGCCCCUUAUGCUUAGGGCUACACACGUGCUACAAUGGGUAGUACAGAGGGUUGCCAAGCCGUAAGGUGGAGCUAAUCCCUUAAAGCUACUCUCAGUUCGGAUUGUAGGCUGAAACUCGCCUACAUGAAGCUGGAGUUACUAGUAAUCGCAGAUCAGAAUGCUGCGGUGAAUGCGUUCCCGGGUCUUGUACACACCGCCCGUCACACCACGGGAGUUGGAGACGCCCGAAGCCGAUUAUCUAACCUUUUGGAAGAAGUCGUCGAAGGUGGAAUCAAUAACUGGGGUGAAGUCGUAACAAGGUAGCCGUAUCGGAAGGUGCGGCUGGAUCACCUCCUUU